Molecule: ribosomal RNA, 468 nt
Filed under: uncultured bacterium
Lineage: Bacteria
Description: partial 16S ribosomal RNA
Rfam family: Bacterial small subunit ribosomal RNA
Source: RNAcentral
GACGAACGCUGGCGGCGUGCUUAACACAUGCAAGUCGAACGGAAAGGCCCUGCUUUUGUGGGGUGCUCGAGUGGCGAACGGGUGAGUAACACGUGAUUAACCUGCCCUUGACUUUGGGAUAACUUUAGGAAACUGGGGCUAAUACCGGAUAGGAGCUCCUGCUGCAUGGUGGGGGUUGGAAAGUUUCGGCGGUUGGGGAUGGACUCGCGGCUUAUCAGCUUGUUGGUGGGGUAGUGGCUUACCAAGGCUUUGACGGGUAGCCGGCCUGAGAGGGUGACCGGCCACAUUGGGACUGAGAUACGGCCCAGACUCCUACGGGAGGCAGCAGUGGGGAAUAUUGCACAAUGGGCGGAAGCCUGAUGCAGCAACGCCGCGUGCGGGAUGACGGCCUUCGGGUUGUAAACCGCUUUCGCCUGUGACGAAGCGUGAGUGACGGUAAUGGGUAAAGAAGCACCGGCUAACUACGUG